RNAcentral lists this ribosomal RNA (336 nucleotides) under Klebsiella oxytoca. Its description in RNAcentral is "partial 16S ribosomal RNA". It matches the Rfam family "Bacterial small subunit ribosomal RNA", at positions 30 to 343 of the family's 1533-position model. Lineage: Bacteria; Pseudomonadati; Pseudomonadota; Gammaproteobacteria; Enterobacterales; Enterobacteriaceae. The record is from RNAcentral.
AUUGAACGCUGGCGGCAGGCCUAACACAUGCAAGUCGAACGGUAGCACAGAGAGCUUGCUCUCGGGUGACGAGUGGCGGACGGGUGAGUAAUGUCUGGGAAACUGCCCCUGAUGGGAGGGGGAUAACCUACUGGAAACGGUAGCUAAUACCGCAUAACGUCGCAAGACCCAAAGAGGGGGACCUUCGGGCCCUCUUGCCAUCAGAUGUGCCCCCCAGAUGGGAUUAGCCUAGUAGGUGGGGUAAAAACGGGCUCACCUAGGCGACGGAUCCCCUAGCUGUCUUGAGAGGAUGACCCAGCCACACUGGAACUGAGACACGGUCCCAGACCUCCCCCC